Melospiza melodia melodia is the source of this 692-nucleotide long non-coding RNA. RefSeq lists it as uncharacterized. The transcript has 5 exons. The record is from RefSeq and is a predicted model, not a curated record. Lineage: Eukaryota; Metazoa; Chordata; Aves; Passeriformes; Passerellidae.
UUGUUCCCACAUCAAAUGUCUAUGAGAUAACAAGACUCUUGUUACACAGAGGACAGUAAGAAAUAAGAAUAUUGAAUGUCUUCACACAUGCUCCUGGAUGAGCACAUCAUGGCUGGAAUAAUGGUCAAGGCUGGGAAAACAAGCACUGUAUGAAGGACCUGCCCUACUCAGUCACCUGUUCCUGCCGUGGCAUCAGAGGGAGGCCCUGGGAGCUCAGGGAAUUGCUGCAGAGGCACAGGGCUACCCACCUCUCCUUGCAGCCUGAGCUAGGAAUUCACUGCCAAGAAUGACAACUCAUUUGGAAGCUCAGGAAACACUGUGGUUUGGGGGUCUUAUGCUUCAGCCUGGGGUAAUGACAAGUGGAUGGAGAAGUCCUUGCUGUGAGCAGCCAGACUGCUUUGGGAGCAGGAGAGCCUCAGUGACACCUUGCCUGCCUCCCACCACAAAGAGAUGAGCAUGGAAUGCUGAUGGGAGCAAAGCAGCAGCUCAGGGGAGAAGAUUGAUGGUGCUCUCUGGCCUCUCCCAGCCAGGGAGGGGUCCUGAGCACUCCACAGGGGUUCCUCCAUGAAGGAGUUCUGUGAAGCUGUCCUCCUCUGGUCUGGAGACAUCAUCAGCAGACUCUGCAAUAACACAGCCACACAGAGAUGUCACAUGGAGACAGGUCUCUGCAUGCACUGUCAGGGGUUACUCAG